Molecule: ribosomal RNA, 234 nt
Filed under: uncultured bacterium
Lineage: Bacteria
Description: partial 16S ribosomal RNA
Rfam family: Bacterial small subunit ribosomal RNA
Source: RNAcentral
UCCACGCUGUAAACGAUGUCUACUAGGUUGUGGUCGUUCUGACACGGGCACGGCCGAAGCAAAAGUGUUAAGUAGACCGCCUGGGGAGUACGGUCGCAAGGCUAAAACUCAAAGGAAUUGACGGGGGCUCACACAAGCGGUGGAGCAUGUGGAUUAAUUCGAAGCAACGCGUAGAACCUUACCUGGGUUUGACAUGCUUGGAUGCCUUCCUGGAAACAGGAUAGGUUGCCCUUC